GGGGAAUUUUGGACAAUGGGGGCAACCCUGAUCCAGCCAUGCCGCGUGAGUGAAGAAGGCCUUCGGGUUGUAAAGCUCUUUCGGCCGGGAAGAAAUCGUGCAGGCUAAUACCCUGUCUGGAUGACGGUACCGGAAUAAGAAGCACCGGCUAACUACGUGCCAGCAGCCGCGGUAAUACGUAGGGUGCAAGCGUUAAUCGGAAUUACUGGGCGUAAAGCGUGCGCAGGCGGUUUUGUAAGACAGUGGUGAAAUCCCCGGGCUCAACCUGGGAACUGCCAUGGUGACGGAAAGGCUGGAGUGCUGCAGAGGGGGAUGGAAUUCCGCGUGUAGCAGUGAAAUGCGUAGAUAUGCGGGGGAACAACGAUGGCGAAGGCAAUCCCCUGGGCCUGCACUGACGCUCAUGCACGAAAGCGUGGGGAGCAAACA
This 426-nucleotide ribosomal RNA is filed under the name uncultured beta proteobacterium. Its description in RNAcentral is "bacterial SSU rRNA". It matches the Rfam family "Bacterial small subunit ribosomal RNA", at positions 356 to 774 of the family's 1533-position model. Lineage: Bacteria; Pseudomonadati; Pseudomonadota; Betaproteobacteria. The record is from RNAcentral.